This is a long non-coding RNA of Helianthus annuus (common sunflower), 494 nucleotides long. RefSeq lists it as uncharacterized. Lineage: Eukaryota; Viridiplantae; Streptophyta; Magnoliopsida; Asterales; Asteraceae. The record is from RefSeq and is a predicted model, not a curated record. The transcript has 3 exons.
GAUUUGCAGAUCUCGAAAAGAGAAGAGAAAUAUAAAGAGAACGUUCCGGGCUAUGACCUCCGACGACGAUAAAGCAGGUCAUUACCUAAGUUCAGCACAUAAGCAGGGUUUGCUGUGUUAAGGGAUGGCCAAAGAAGGGAUUACAUCAUCAUCCCAGCAUCAGCAACUUUCUUUCUUUUCAAAACUGCAGCAUACCAGUAGUAUAAUAAGACUAAACAUCCACAACUUUUGUACGAAGCUAAGUUGUACAAUGCAGAUUUAUAUGUUUAUCUUUUAUUUCACUCUGAAUGAUAUGAUUUGUAAUGUUUUAUUUUCACUUGUAGGUGGUAUACCUUCCAUAAAAUGGUCCGGUGUAGAUGGAGAGGAUAAUGUUUUAAUUAUUGAUUUGCUAGGACCGAGUCUUGAGGACCUGUUUGUGUAUUGUGGGAGGAACUUUCAAUUGAAAACAGUCUUGAUGUUGGCUGAUUAAAUGGUAAGUUGUGUAUACACCAUAU